AACCCAUGGUGGGGGCACUUCAAAAUCAAAUCUUUGAAUCUUUCCCAAGAUUCGUAGAAUUGUUCAUCCUCUUUUUGCCUAAAGUCAGAAAUGUCUCGCCUGAGGGG
Molecule: small nucleolar RNA, 107 nt
Organism: Rosa chinensis
Lineage: Eukaryota; Viridiplantae; Streptophyta; Magnoliopsida; Rosales; Rosaceae
Source: RefSeq, a predicted model, not a curated record